RNAcentral lists this ribosomal RNA (393 nucleotides) under uncultured bacterium. RNAcentral describes it as "partial 16S ribosomal RNA". It matches the Rfam family "Bacterial small subunit ribosomal RNA", at positions 523 to 918 of the family's 1533-position model. The record is from RNAcentral.
AUACGGAAGGUCCGGGCGUUAUCCGGAUUUAUUGGGUUUAAAGGGAGCGCAGGCGGAGAUGCAAGCGUGACGUCAAAUUUCGGGGCUCAACCCCGUCUCGCGUCGCGAACUGCGUCCCUUGGUUGCGGGAAGGGGAGGCGGAACUCGUGGUGUAGCGGUGAAAUGCAUAGAUAUCACGAAGAACUCCGAUCGCGAAGGCAGCCUUCCGGCCCGUCAACGACGCUCAUGCUCGAAGGUGCGGGUAUCAAACAGGAUUAGAUACCAUGGUAGUCCGCACAGUAAACGAUGGACACCCGCGGUUUGGCCUGUAUGGCUGAGCCGCCAAGCGAAAGCGUUAAGUGUCCCACCUGGGGAGUACGCCGGCAACGGUGAAACUCAAAUGAAUUGACGGGG